Long non-coding RNA from Canis lupus familiaris (dog), 659 nucleotides. RefSeq lists it as uncharacterized. The record is from RefSeq and is a predicted model, not a curated record. The transcript is spliced from 3 exons. NCBI's taxonomy places the organism in Eukaryota, Metazoa, Chordata, Mammalia, Carnivora, Canidae.
CCUGGAUCACACCCUGAGCCAAGGCAGAUGCUCAACCACUGAGCCACCCAGGCGUCCCAAUUCCCCAUCUGAGCUGAUUUGCAUCAUCCUUGCUGAUUUGCAUAGCACCAUAUGCUGCCCCGACUGAAUCUUUGCACAGUAUGAAAUAAUUCCUUUUGACAAGAUAACCACUAUUACAGCAGUGUCAGGGGUCAGCGUUUAAUUAUCUGACCGGAAGAUAGAGUUGCAUACUCUGAAAUGUAAUCCUUCCUGUCCUACAACCCUGACAUCUUCCCUCCACAUCCCUUCUGUGCUGUCAACAAGUAAGGUAGAAAAUUGCUGCUUUCCCAUCUUCCUCAAUGUGUGCACUUGCACAGAACAGAAACCCUCAAGCCAAACUGAAGUGUCUGAGUUGAAGAAUUUACUCUGGAAAUGAUGGGAUGAGAGACAUUAGAGUUCUGUUGGACAACUCUUCUGGGAGUUAGAGAAGCUUCUGUUCUCAAAGGGGCCGAGCCAUUUUGUAGGAUGCCAUGGAGGUGGGAAUGCUUUUUAAUGUCUCCUGAAGUCUGAAGGACAGAAACUCAAGGGUGUAAUUGUGGGGUCUGAUGGCUUUUUUAUAACCUGGGUCUUUAGGAACAGUCAAUUAAGGUUUACCUGCUGGAGCAUUUUGCAAAACAAAU